AUGCAAGGACCAUGCGAGCAAGAUGCGAUGCGUUGCAUGUUACCCUCUCUUGCAAGAGGGUUGCAAUUGGGGGUUGGGUUGGGACCUCUCUUGCAAGAGGGUUGCGCACCACCUUCUCUCUACCUCGCCGUGAGCGUGAGGACCCACCCUAGAGCUGUUCUAGUGUGGCCUUGUCCCUCCCUCCCUCCUCCCAUCUCCCACGAUCCGAUCCAUCUUUUCCUAGCCUCCAUUAUUUUCUUCCACCCAUUCUUUUCUUCCAUCUCGUACAUCGUCGUCUCCCUCCCCUCCCAGCGUCAAAGCCACAGGGCAGUAGAAUUACUGUGGGUGGGUGUCGUGGAGCCGAGUAGAAGACGACGUACCAGGGGUGAAGAAGAAGAAGAAGAAGAAGAAGAAGAAGACCGCCAUUUCUACCUCCCCAACCUCCCAUCCAUCCUCCUCCUCCACCGCCAUUUUUAUACUAGUAUUUAG
This 468-nucleotide ribosomal RNA is filed under the name Triticum aestivum (bread wheat). Its description in RNAcentral is "partial small subunit ribosomal RNA". Lineage: Eukaryota; Viridiplantae; Streptophyta; Magnoliopsida; Poales; Poaceae. The record is from RNAcentral.